AUGCGGAGGGUGCAAGCGUUGUUCGGAAUCACUGGGCGUAAAGGGCGCGCAGGCGGUUUGGUAAGUCAGAUGUGAAAGCCCACGGCUCAACCGUGGAAGUGCAUUUGAAACUGCCAGACUUGAGUACCAGAGGGGAAAGUGGAAUUCCCGGUGUAGAGGUGAAAUUCGUAGAUAUCGGGAGGAAUACCGGUGGCGAAGGCGACUUUCUGGCUGGAUACUGACGCUGAGGCGCGAAAGCGUGGGGAGCAAACAGGAUUAGAAACCCUAGUAGUCC
Molecule: ribosomal RNA, 274 nt
Filed under: uncultured bacterium
Lineage: Bacteria
Description: partial 16S ribosomal RNA
Rfam family: Bacterial small subunit ribosomal RNA
Source: RNAcentral